RNAcentral lists this ribosomal RNA (593 nucleotides) under Hanseniaspora uvarum. Its description in RNAcentral is "eukaryotic LSU rRNA". It matches the Rfam family "Eukaryotic large subunit ribosomal RNA", at positions 49 to 656 of the family's 3401-position model. Lineage: Eukaryota; Fungi; Ascomycota; Saccharomycetes; Saccharomycodales; Saccharomycodaceae. The record is from RNAcentral.
AAGGGAAGAAAAGGAACCCAAUGGGAUUUCCUUAGUAACGGGGAGUGAAGCGGUAAAAGCUCAAAUUUGAAAUCUGGUACUUUCAGUGCCCGAGUUGUAAUUUGUAGAAUUUGUCUUUGAUUAGGUCCUUGUCUAUGUUCCUUGGAACAGGACGUCAUAGAGGGUGAGAAUCCCGUUUGGCGAGGAUACCUUUUCUCUGUAAGACUUUUUCGAAGAGUCGAGUUGUUUGGGAAUGCAGCUCAAAGUGGGUGGUAAAUUCCAUCUAAAGCUAAAUAUUGGCGAGAGACCGAUAGCGAACAAGUACAGUGAUGGAAAGAUGAAAAGAACUUUGAAAAGAGAGUGAAAAAGUACGUGAAAUUGUUGAAAGGGAAGGGCAUUUGAUCAGACAUGGUGUUUUUUGCAUGCACUCGCCUCUCGUGGGCUUGGGCCUCUCAAAAAUUUCACUGGGCCAACAUCAAUUCUGGCAGCAGGAUAAAUCAUUAAGAAUGUAGCUACUUCGGUAGGGUUAUACCUUUUUGAAAUACGGUUACCCGGAAUUGAGGACGGCCCUCCGGCAAGGAGGUGGGCUUAAGGGUUAAAGGCCGCCGGUCUGA